This is a long non-coding RNA of Triticum dicoccoides, 1289 nucleotides long. RefSeq lists it as uncharacterized. The record is from RefSeq and is a predicted model, not a curated record. The transcript is spliced from 9 exons. NCBI's taxonomy places the organism in Eukaryota, Viridiplantae, Streptophyta, Magnoliopsida, Poales, Poaceae.
CCGCAACAGAGCCCCCCACCCACCCACCCUCCCCAACGACGAUGAGCAGCAGCUUAGGGAGGAUGGGGAGCACGACAGCGGUGGCGGAGGGGAGCAGCAGCAGCAGGCCUCGCCGGGGCGCCCCUCGCCUCCUCACCGCCCGCCGGGGGCGCGUGGUUCAGGGCCACCCUUGCCUGCUGCGGCUACGUCCUGCUGGCGCUGCUCGCCCUCGCGCUCCUCCUCCUUCUCCCCGUUGGGUACCUCGGCCAGAAAAGGAGGGCACCAUUCACCAUGGAGGACUGUCGUGUCCAGUCUCCCUCACUUCCUCCCUCCUGCCUCAAUACCAUAGCACCCAUGACCAUGGCGACUCCACUGGAGGUGCAGCAAGCAGGUGCUGUUGUGUGAAGGACAGGAGAAGAGGGUAGAGGAGAGGACUGCUACUAUCUCACCUGCUUCUUCGUCUUCUUCUUCUACUACGUCCUAUGUUGGUCCGACCAGGAGGCGUUGCCAUUAUAGGGUGUCCGACCAACGUCCUCGUGUUCGUGCAUCUUCAGGAAGAAACGACCCGGGGUGAGUCGCCUCUGGUCUGCCGCACGAAGAGAGCGGGGGGCUAGAUCGCAAGGGCAGAGUUGCAGUCCUCCAGGGCCGCGGGAAGAAGAAGAUGGGACUCAUAUACAAGCCUCCCUCUCGUGGUGAACACUCUUCCCUGGAAUUGAUGGAAGAUCUGCCUUGCAGCCUUAGAGGAUCCAUGCAUCGUGUGAUGUGUGGCCUACAGGCUACCAAUGCAACUGAUGUAGUCCUGCACAACACAAAUAAUUUAGUGGUGCUUGGAUCUAGGAGUGAACUGGGUCAGGGUUCUGUACUAUAGGAGGAAACAAGAUGGGGCAUGUGUUUUUCAAGGAUAAAUAUUGGAACUGAUGCCUCGCGUUGAUCUCUCUGAUCUGGUUCGGCUGGCGCGGGAACUGAGCCGCCGUCGAUGGAUUUAUCACAACUUGGCUACCUGUUGCUUUGGAUCUGGUAGGUUUGUUCAUAGGUUUAUGCGGCGCAUGUACUGGCAUAAUACUUGUUGAAGCACCUCCCUGGCUUCCUUGCCUUGCUGCUCUAGCACCAGCCUCGCCACCGCUGAGGAUACCCAGCAUGUGUUUAGGAUCCCACACAGGGCGGUUCUUGACAUGCUUCGAGCACACCUUGGGCUAUUGAUACGUAUCCAACGUAUCUAUAAUUUUUGAUUGCUCCAUGCUAUAUUAUCUACUGUUUUGGGCAAUAUUGGGCUUUAUUAUCCAUUUUUAUAUUAUUUUUGGGACUAACCU